UUUUUCCCUUAUUUGUUGUUGUUUUGAUUUGUGUAUAUUGAAAUGAUAUAUAUAUAUAUAUAUAUAUAUAUAUAUAUCAUUUCAAUAUACACAAAUCAAAACAACAACAAAUAAGGGAAAAA
Molecule: microRNA precursor, 122 nt
Filed under: Olea europaea subsp. europaea
Lineage: Eukaryota; Viridiplantae; Streptophyta; Magnoliopsida; Lamiales; Oleaceae
Source: RNAcentral